Molecule: non-coding RNA, 526 nt
Organism: Sorex fumeus (smoky shrew)
Lineage: Eukaryota; Metazoa; Chordata; Mammalia; Eulipotyphla; Soricidae
Source: the annotation of a RefSeq genome assembly
UCAGGGCUGAGUCUCUGGGGAAGGCAUAGCUUUGACCGAAAAGAAGAUGAUUCUGUGGGGUCUUCUCCUCUGCCUGGGGACAGGCCCCCUGGGUGCUGUGUCUGCUCUGACCCUACAGGAGUCGGGCCCAGGACUGGUGAAGCCCUCCCAGACCAUCUCCCUCACCUGCUCUGUCUCUGGGGGCUCUGUCAGCAGCAGUUACUACUGGAAUUGGAUCCGCCAGAGCCCUGGGAAAGGGUUUGAAUGGAUGGGGUACUGGAGCGGUGGUACCAGCUACAACCCAGCAUUCCAGGGCCGCAUCUCCAUCACGGCUGACACCUCCAAGAACCAGUUCUCUCUGCAGUUGAGCUCUGUGACCCCCGAGGACACAGCCGUGUAUUACUGUGCAAGAACUGUGAUGUCCGAUUCUGAAAUAAGAAUUAUCUGUGGAACACCAAUACUUAAGAAACACGUGCACCAUGUGAUCACGUCACUCAAUGCUUUCAGAAGAUCUACUUAUAUCUACAAGGUGAACAGAGUAGAAUAA